GCUGGGCCAAGUAUACACGAUUCUCACGGAUAAGACUGGGACUUUGAGAGUACGUAUGAUGUGCAGUAUAAUGUACGAGAGGCUGUCAAACUCUCAGAGUACGUAUGGUGAAGCGACACAGAAGCACAUAAAUGAUUACGCUGAUGCUGGCCUGAGGACACUAGUUCUUGCAUACCGUCAACUUGAGGAGAUCGAAUACACUAAAUUCGAAAGGAACUUCACAGCAGCUAAGAAUUCUGUCAGCGCUGAUCGGGAUGAGCUGAUUGACGAAGCGACAGAUUUGAUAGAGAGGGAUUUGAUUCUGUUUGGAGCCGCCGCCGUUGAGGACAAGCUGCAAAAGGGGGUACCUGACUCACUGACUGCACAAACUUGCUAAGGCCGGCAUCAAGAUAUGGGUGCUGACGGGCGACAAGACGGAGACCGCCCUCAACAUCGGAUAUGCCUGCAGUCUACUCAGACAAGGGAUGAAACAAAUAACCAUCACACUGGAUACACCAGAUAUCAUUGCCUUGGAGAAAGGUGGUGACAAAGGAGCCAUUAAUAAGGUAGAUAAAGUAUUGCAGAUUAUAGUUACCGAGUCCUCUGUCUAGUACACUGACCAAUUCUUAUGUAGUUUAUACUAUCUAUGUGUUCAUUUUCGGUUCUGUAGUGCAUUACGUUUGGUAACAAAUUAACUACAUAACUGCCUGCAUAUUGAUCAAACACUGGUUUGUUUCUCUUCUUUUUUGACAUGGAACA
Triticum dicoccoides is the source of this 738-nucleotide long non-coding RNA. RefSeq lists it as uncharacterized. The record is from RefSeq and is a predicted model, not a curated record. The transcript is spliced from 3 exons. Lineage: Eukaryota; Viridiplantae; Streptophyta; Magnoliopsida; Poales; Poaceae.